AUCGGUCCUUGUAGCAUAGUGGGGAGUAUACUGUCUGUCAGGCAGGUGACCCGGGUUUGAUCCCGGCAACGGAGAUUCAACGAGACCGUUUCCGGCAAUCCGUUGAAGUAAAAGAUCGUUUUGACAGCGCAAAUUCAAUUUUGAAAUUCCCUCGAAAAAUUAGUAAAGAUUUCUCCCGCCCAAAUCCUUUCCAUGCUUUCGUUAUUGCCUCUGUAGUGCCUCAGUCAUCAGCGCCGUUACUUCCUCCGUCGCCCCCUGUUGUGUGAUGAGGCCAUUUCCGUCGUCGCCUUUGUUCCGAUGUUUCUUCAUCGUCGACGUUAGAGAUUCUAUUAUCGCCUCUUACCAGGCAUUUUACAUGCAAAUAAAAAAACAUAAAAUCAGAAAUCGUCGUCGCCUGAGAGAUUCGAACUCUCGCGGGGAGACCCCAUGUACUUAGCAGGCACACGCCUUAACCACUCGGCCAAAGCGACUUUGUUAUGGCUCUGGUGUUAAGGGUUGUUCUUUCUGAACAUUCACAAGUUGGGAUGAUUCCAAAAAAAAUCAUGAAUUCAGAUGAUUCUUUGUGUGAAUCUGAAUCGACUUUGUGGAUACACUUUUUUUGCUUAAUCUUUGAAACAAGGUUGUUUAUAAUUUGGUUGCAGGUUAUGAUUAGAAUUCAUGUUCUUGGCCAAUAUUGUUGUCAUUAAUCUUCUCUCUCGGUAAUAAUUCAAAUUUUUUAUUGUCGUUGUUUCUUUAUCAUGUUACUUUUGCGGGAAGUAUGGGUAGGGCGAUGAAAGAGAGGUUUAGUUAAUUUCAAUGUGUUGGUCGUUGUAGUAUAGUGGUGAGUAUUCCCGCCUGUCACGCGGGUGACCCGGGUUCGAUCCCCGGCAACGGCGAUUUAUGUUUUUGGUGUCAUUUACACUCUCUUCUCCAGAAGUGAGAUUCAAAUUGCUGCUUUGUUUGACCCAUCUACUCGCCUACCUCCGUGGUUCUCUGAGGAAGAUCUUGCGACCUAUGCAUCUUUAUAUGAACUUUAUAUUUUAAUUUUCCUGUUCAUAAUGUCAGCCUUGGGGAUGGGUACUGUGGUCUUCGGAACAUUUAAAAUUUAAUGCAAAGCAUGUCUACUGUUGUUUGAGAGAGCUGGGAUGGACCUUUUUAUAAUUUUCUAUUGUGUGAUUUAAAUCUUUGUUGCAUUAUUUUGCUUGAAUGUAAAUUUCGUUCUAUUAAGGGUUACUUUGAAAAGCUGGAAAAGCUGGAUGUUGUAAAUUGCUUUUUUGCCAAUCUUUUUUCUCAAUCUUGUUUGCAGGAGGACUUUAACUCUUGAAUUUUUGAAAAUUACCACCUCCUGUUAUAGAUAUUUGAGAGGUCCCAUGGAUUUUUUUGGCUCAAUUAUGAUGGUCUGAUACGGCUGUGCGCAGGCUGUGCCGCUCCAAGAAUUAUAAGGCUCAGAACUCCAGAAAAGGUCAAAGGAUUUGAUGCACAGGAUUAUAAAUGAAUUUGUACUUCGUAGGUUUACUCGUGUUAGAGCUCCACCUUGGUAGAAUUCUGCUAAUGCUUUCCUAAGAUAUGUUAACAAGUGGAAAUAAGAAUAGGUUGUGCUAGGAGCAAAUACACUAAAGCUUAGAAUUUUUUAUGGAACGAGUUUGAUCCAUUGUGUUGGCAGUAGUAGAGUCUAAGUAGUUUUCCCAUCCAUUUUUUUAUGAUGGACCAGCAUGUAUGCUUGUUUCAGAAAUUGUGUACAUUACUUAUUCUAUUAUUCAGUAGUAACAAAAAUAUA
Long non-coding RNA from Vigna unguiculata (cowpea), 1756 nucleotides. RefSeq lists it as uncharacterized. Lineage: Eukaryota; Viridiplantae; Streptophyta; Magnoliopsida; Fabales; Fabaceae. The record is from RefSeq and is a predicted model, not a curated record.